Molecule: ribosomal RNA, 522 nt
Filed under: uncultured bacterium
Lineage: Bacteria
Description: bacterial SSU rRNA
Rfam family: Bacterial small subunit ribosomal RNA
Source: RNAcentral
CAGUGGCGAACGGCGGAGUAAUACAUAAGCAACGUGCCCCGAAGACCGGGAUAGUCAGUGGAAACGCUGGGUAAUACCGGAUGUGACGGACUUAGGGCAUCCUAGGUCCAUUAAAUGGUUUUUCGCUUCGGGAGCGGCUUAUGGCCUAUCAGGUAGUUGGUGGGGUAAUGGCCUACCAAGCCGACGACGGGUAGCGGGUCUGAGAGGAUGAUCCGCUCGAGUGGGACUGAGACACGGCCCACACACCUACGGGUGGCAGCAGUUGGGAAUCUUGCACAAUGGGGGAAACCCUGAUGCAGCGACGCCGCGUGGAGGAUGACGGGUCUAGGCCUGUAAACUCCUUUUAUGGGGAAAGACUUAGGACGGUACCCCAUGAAUAAGGACCGGCUAACUACGUGCCAGCAGCCGCGGUAAGACGUAGGGUCCAAGCGUUGUCCGGAUUUACUGGGCGUAAAGAGCGCGUAGGCGGUCUAGUAAGUGAGAAGUGAAAUCUCCAGGGCUCAACCCGGAAAUUGCUUUUCA